GAUGAAGAACGUAGCGAAAUGCGAUAAGUAGUGUGAAUUGCAGAAUUCAGUGAAUCAUCGAAUCUUUGAACGCACAUUGCGCCCGCCAGUAUUCUGGCGGGCAUGCCUGUUCGAGCGUCAUUUCAACCAUCAAGCCCUGCUUGCGUUGGGUCCUGCGGCUGCCCGCAGGCCCUGAAAACCAGUGGCGGGCUCGCUAGUCACACCGAGCGCAGUAAUACAUCUCGCUUUGGGCGUGCGGCGGGUUCUUGCCGUUAAACACCCCCUUUUUACCAAGGUUGACCUCGGAUCAGGUAGGAAUACCCGCUGAACUUAAGCAUAUCAAUAAGCGGAGGA
RNAcentral lists this unclassified non-coding RNA (333 nucleotides) under soil metagenome. RNAcentral's name for it is "partial contains 5.8S ribosomal RNA, internal transcribed spacer 2, and large subunit ribosomal RNA". The stretch from base 1 to 120 matches the Rfam family "5.8S ribosomal RNA", at positions 35 to 154 of the family's 154-position model. The record is from RNAcentral.